UGUCCUGGUGCGCCUGCUAGUAAACGACGGCAUCGGACCAGAGGAACUGCAGCUCCUCACCUCCCGCGUCAGGACGGUCCAGAAACCCCAGACGUCCCGUCGCCUUCUCGCCUCUUUCGCUGAGAGCUGCAGAUCAGUUCACGUUGACAGAUUAGAGGGAAAAUGUGCAAAUGUUUAUGGGGAACACCGGAUUUAUUCAGAGCUCAUGAUGUGUCGUGGCACUGUGGUAGGCACUAGUGACAUCAGAAAGAGUGCUUUAACAUUGAAGUUCCCCAAAGGAUUCUGCAUCUGUUGCUGAAGACAGUCACGGAAGGCAAUGUCUGGGCCGUGCCAGUUGUGAUCUCUAGAGUGAAUGACUAGAAGCUGUCCUGCUCCAGCUUUCUGCUACUCCCAGCAACGCAUCAGUCAGAGAGAGAAAAAGAGAGAGAGUCUCAAUCAGCCUCCACAUACAUGCAACCCAACAUGAUCUUACGACCCGGAGAUCAUGACCUGAGCCAAAAUCAAGAGUCAGACGCUUAACUGACUGAGCCACCCAGCCGCCCCCAAGAUCCUGUUCUAACGCUUCCACCUCCACGAAGUUUUUCCUGAUCUCCCCAGCUCAGAGCCAUCUCUCUCCCAGCUCCCAGGCACUCAGAGAUAAUCCAGGUGGAAUUGUGUAUAUCAUCCUAGUUGAUGAGGGAAAACUCAUCUUUAGAAAAGAAUACCAACGAAGGAGGGAUUGUAUUUGAAAGUCACUAUUUUGCAACCCCCAAUGAAAUAAUUGAUUCAAGCAAGGAUCAUCAAUGGUGAAAGAGUAUUUCAGAACAUAUUCACACAGUGACAAAGUGUCAUCACACAGGUGACUUGCAAGGAAGCAAUCUGGUUUUCCAAAUGCAGCAAGCGCGUCAAGUCCUCUACCUGCUGGGUUCAGGUGAAGCAACCCUCAGUAAAGUCACCUCUGCUGUCCCAGGGUCUAUUUCUCAGAAUCUCUUCAAAAUUCACACUAGGAAAAGAGGAGAGCAGGAUGCUUAAAGAAGAGGAUGAAUACUGACCAGGAGAUGGGGAGGAUAAAACCCCAUUAAGUCUGUAUUUUAAAAUCUCAUUAAUCUUCACUUUUUAUGAAGUAUAAUUUGAAGAGAUAUAGUUCUUUUCAGAAAGCAAGUUGUGAGGCACUUGGAGGUUAGUUCACCCAAGGGGAUGCUGAAAAUCAUACUUGAAUUGUCAGUCAUUCCAGAAAGCAAAAUUCAAGUACUAAAGAGUGAGUCUGUAAUAGAAGUCCCCGGGCAAAGAAAGAUCGUUGCUUCCUCCCAAGGUCAUCUGGUAUGGGAGUAAGGGGGUUCGAAGAAAAUGUGUCAUUGAUGGUUUAAUAAUAUUUGACCUGAGAGAUUUUUCUAAUUUUAAUUUUUUUUACAUAGAAAACCCAGACUGUCUUAAACCUGCUAAGUGAUAUAUGUGGGUUAAAACUGCAUGGAACAACAUUCCAUACACUUUCUAAUCACCUCAAUGUUUGCAAGUACUGUGUAUCUCCAUUAAAAUAUAUGUUUACGUUA
Molecule: long non-coding RNA, 1529 nt
Organism: Hyaena hyaena (striped hyena)
Lineage: Eukaryota; Metazoa; Chordata; Mammalia; Carnivora; Hyaenidae
Exons: 7
Source: RefSeq, a predicted model, not a curated record